AGUGAACGCUGGCGGUAGGCCUAACACAUGCAAGUCGAACGGCAGCACAGUAAGAGCUUGCUCUUACGAGUGGCGAGUGGCGGACGGGUGAGGAAUAAAUCGGAAUCUACUUUUUCGUGGGGGAUAACGUAGGGAAACUUACGCUAAUACCGCAUACGACCUACGGGUGAAAGCAGGGGAUCUUCGGACCUUGCGCGAUUGAAUGAGCCGAUGUCGGAUUAGCUAGUUGGCGGGGUAAAGGCCCACCAAGGCGACGAUCCGUAGCUGGUCUGAGAGGAUGAUCAGCCACACUGGAACUGAGACACGGUCCAGACUCCUACGGGAGGCAGCAGUGGGGAAUAUUGGACAAUGGGCGCAAGCCUGAUCCAGCCAUACCGCGUGGGUGAAGAAGGCCUUCGGGUUGUAAAGCCCUUUUGUUGGGAAAGAAAAGCAGCAGGUUAAUACCCCGCUGUUCUGACGGUACCCAAAGAAUAAGCACCGGCUAACUUCGUG
This 492-nucleotide ribosomal RNA is filed under the name uncultured bacterium. Its description in RNAcentral is "partial 16S ribosomal RNA". It matches the Rfam family "Bacterial small subunit ribosomal RNA", at positions 29 to 507 of the family's 1533-position model. The record is from RNAcentral.